This is a small nucleolar RNA of Bison bison bison, 127 nucleotides long. Its record names the gene SNORA70. It matches the Rfam family "Small nucleolar RNA SNORA70". From Rfam's summary of the family: snoRNA U70 seems to be exclusive to mammals and is a member of the H/ACA class of snoRNA which contain H (ANANNA) and ACA box motifs. The record is from Ensembl. NCBI's taxonomy places the organism in Eukaryota, Metazoa, Chordata, Mammalia, Artiodactyla, Bovidae.
UUGCAGCCAAUUAAGCCAACUAUGCUCCAUUCCCCAUGGGGGCUUGGUGUGCAGUGAUUGCAAAUGUCAGGUAGUAUAUGCAGCCUGUUGCCUGUGUGGGUUGCCCUAAGGGACCUUGGAAACAGCC